This 460-nucleotide ribosomal RNA is filed under the name uncultured bacterium. RNAcentral describes it as "partial 16S ribosomal RNA". It matches the Rfam family "Bacterial small subunit ribosomal RNA", at positions 338 to 795 of the family's 1533-position model. The record is from RNAcentral.
CCUACGGGUGGCAGCAGUGAGGAAUAUUGGUCAAUGGGCGGAAGCCUGAACCAGCCACGUCGCGUGCAGGAUGACGGCCCUACGGGUUGUAAACUGCUUUUAUACGGGAAUCACGCGCCUUACGUGUAGGGCUUUGCAUGUACCGUAUGAAUAAGGACCGGCUAAUUCCGUGACAGCAGCCGAGGUAAUCCGGAAGGUCCGGGAGUUACCCGGAUUUAUUGGGUUUAAAGGGAGCGUAGGCCGCAUGUCAAGCGUGCUGUGAAAUGUCCGGGCUCAACCCGGGCCUUGCAGCGCCAACUGGCGUGCUUGAGUCCGCGGAAAGCAGGCGGAAUUCGUGGUGUAGCGGUGAAAUGCUUAGAUAUGACGAAGAACCGCGAUUGCGAAGGCAGCUUGCUGCAGCGGAACUGACGCUGAUGCUCGAAAGCGCGGGUAUCGAACAGGAUUAGAUACCCGGGUAGUC